This 498-nucleotide ribosomal RNA is filed under the name uncultured bacterium. Its description in RNAcentral is "partial 16S ribosomal RNA". It matches the Rfam family "Bacterial small subunit ribosomal RNA", at positions 30 to 523 of the family's 1533-position model. The record is from RNAcentral.
AUUGAACGCUGGCGGCAUGCCUUACACAUGCAAGUCGAACGGUAACAGGUCUUCGGAUGCUGACGAGUGGCGAACGGGUGAGUAAUACAUCGGAACGUGCCUAGUAGUGGGGGAUAACUACUCGAAAGAGUGGCUAAUACCGCAUGAGAUCUACGGAUGAAAGCAGGGGAUCGCAAGACCUUGUGCUACUAGAGCGGCCGAUGGCAGAUUAGGUAGUUGGUGGGAUAAAAGCUUACCAAGCCGACGAUCUGUAGCUGGUCUGAGAGGACGAUCAGCCACACAGAGACUGAGACACGGCCCAGACUCCUACGGGGGGCAGCAGUGGGGAAUUUUGGACAAUGGGCGCAAGCCUGAUCCAGAAAUGCCGCGUGCAGGAUGAAGGCCUUCGGGUUGUAAACUGCCUUUGUACGGAACGAAAAGCCCCGGGUUAAUACCCUGGGGUCAUGACGGUACCGUAAGAAUAAGCACCGGCUAACUACGUGCCAGCCGCCGCCGUAA